Molecule: long non-coding RNA, 483 nt
Filed under: Homo sapiens (human)
Lineage: Eukaryota; Metazoa; Chordata; Mammalia; Primates; Hominidae
Description: HSALNT0180742
Source: RNAcentral
GUGAAAGCUGCAGGAUGCUCUUUUUACCUCCCAUCUAUGUGAUUUGGUCAGCCUUACAAAAGCCCUUCAUCACUUCUCAGCUUUGUGGAAAAUAUUCCCAUCUUCAGUGUCACCAGCCAACCUCCUGGCCUGAUCCCGGCUCUGGCUGAACCAAGAGAACUUGUGUUCAGAUGGCUAAGGAAGCAAGAUUCCAAGGUGGAGUGGAGGCAGUGUGGCUGCCCAUGAGGUAAAAGCACCCCAGAGUUCUUCCCAACUUCAGAGCUGUCUUAAAGCUGUGCUCAAAAUCUUCAUAAGCUGCAAGUGCAGACGAGGAAUACUAAUUUGCCAAAUAUGUUCGGAGACUUUAUUGCACAACAUGGCUCAAAUCCUGAUUUCCAUUGAUUGCCAGGAAGUGUAGAAAAGCUGUAUCUUUGGAGCAAUGGCAAAUUUUGCCAUCUGUAAAAGUGAAUGAUAUUUCUAUUUUAAUGAAUAAAUUUGAAGACA